This 164-nucleotide ribosomal RNA is filed under the name uncultured bacterium. RNAcentral describes it as "partial 16S rRNA". It matches the Rfam family "Bacterial small subunit ribosomal RNA", at positions 355 to 511 of the family's 1533-position model. The record is from RNAcentral.
UAGGGAAUCUUCCACAAUGGGCGCAAGCCUGAUGGAGCAACACCGCGUGAGUGAAGAAGGGUCUCGGCUCGUAAAGCUCUGUUGUUAAAGAAGAACACGUAUGAGAGUAACUGUUCAUACGUUGACGGUAUUUAACCAGAAAGUCACGGCUAACUACGUGUCAG